AUAUGAUCACUCUGAUGAAGUGUCAGGUUUACUGACACGAAACGCGUUAGAUGUGAAUCCCCCUCCUCAGCUAUGUUAAAGCGCUCAAUAAAGCCAUAUAUUUGAUACUAACAAGCCAGACUCCGAUAAUGCUUUGAACAGCGCUAUACAUCGAUGACAGAGAGUGUGUGAGUAGAAGCCGGCUGGAAGGAGCCAAUUCAUCGCGAGAGCAGCAGUUCAGCAGGAGCUGGCGUGCAAGGGCAGAGCUCAGCCAUUAAUCACAUCGUAUUUCUUCGUUAGAAAAUCAGUAAAGCAGAGUAAGUCAGGGCACUGAGGUUGGCAGAAUAUCAUAU
Molecule: long non-coding RNA, 332 nt
Organism: Xenopus laevis (African clawed frog)
Lineage: Eukaryota; Metazoa; Chordata; Amphibia; Anura; Pipidae
Exons: 3
Source: RefSeq, a predicted model, not a curated record